CCAACGGCUCUCCUUAGAGCCAUCUAACCAAUAAACCAAAAUUCAGU
Molecule: non-coding RNA, 47 nt
Organism: Anisakis simplex (herring worm)
Lineage: Eukaryota; Metazoa; Nematoda; Chromadorea; Rhabditida; Anisakidae
Source: Rfam